RNA transcript from Hordeum vulgare subsp. vulgare (domesticated barley), 1102 nucleotides. It is a transcript of the gene named alkylbase DNA glycosidase-like protein mag2, with no coding region annotated. The transcript has a single exon. The record is from RefSeq and is a predicted model, not a curated record. Lineage: Eukaryota; Viridiplantae; Streptophyta; Magnoliopsida; Poales; Poaceae.
CUCUCCACGGUCCACGGUCCACGCCGCCGUCCACCACCUCCACGUAGCGCAAUGCCCAAGACCAGGUCGGCGGCGACGCCCCACCCCUCCGCCACCGCCACCGCCACCGCCACCACCACCGCCAGGAUCUCCUUCCGCUCCCGCAAGAUCGUCAAGACUCCACCCGCCAAAGUCAAACCCCUCGCCGCGGCCACUGUGCCGCCACAGGCGCCGCCCGCUCCGGUGCUGCCCGCGCUGUCGGCCCCGGGCGAGCUCGCGGCCGCGCUGCGCCACCUCGCCGCGGCCGACCCGCUCCUCUCCGAAGUCAUCGCCUCCACCGACGCGCCCGCCUUCAUCUCCACCUCCUCCCUCCCGUGCUCCAUCCUCUACCAGCAGCUCGCCACCUCCUCCACCGCCGCCAUCUACGCCCGCUUCCUCCCCUCCGACGCCGACGGAUCCGUGAGCCCCGCGGCCAUGCUGGCCUUCGCCGUUGCCAACCUCCGCGCCAUCGGCGUCUCGGGCCGCAAGGCCGCCUACCUCCACGAUCUGGCCGCCAGUUUCGCGGCCGGGUACCUCUCCGAGUCCUCCGUCGCCGCCAUGGACGAGGACGCUCUCCUCGCCCAGCUCACCAGGGUGAAGGGCAUCGGCGAGUGGACGGUUCACAUGUUCAUGAUCUUCUCGCUGCACCGCCCCGACGUGCUGCCGUCCGGCGACCUCGGCGUGCGCAAGGGCGUGCAGGAGCUGUACAAGCUCAAGGCGCUGCCCAAGCCGGAGGAGAUGGCCGCAUUGUGCGAGCGGUGGCGCCCGUACCGGUCUGUCGGCGCCUGGUACAUGUGGCGCCUCUUGGAGAGAGCAAGGGCACCGCAGCAAAGGCGGCGAAGAAGGGCAAAGCGAGUUCCUAGCUAGGUAUGUGUCAUCUAUGUGUGAUGGUGAUGCUAGUGUGUAUUUUGUUGUAGUCAAGCUGUUAAAUUUAGAUGGCAAUGUGGCAGAUGCUGCCUGGAUUAGUGAAGUGUGACUUGUGUGUCUAUGUGCACAUUAUGUUGCUAAUAUGGUUGUAUCUUGAUCAAGGCCUGAUCUUGAUGUGCCUGUCCUGCCUUGUUAUCAAUAAAAUUUGGUUUCAUCC